This 492-nucleotide ribosomal RNA is filed under the name uncultured bacterium. RNAcentral describes it as "partial 16S ribosomal RNA". It matches the Rfam family "Bacterial small subunit ribosomal RNA", at positions 29 to 507 of the family's 1533-position model. The record is from RNAcentral.
AGUGAACGCUGGCGGUAGGCCUAACACAUGCAAGUCGAACGGCAGCACAGUAAGAGCUUGCUCUUACGGGUGGCGAGUGGCGGACGGGUGAGGAAUACAUCGGAAUCUACUUUUUCGUGGGGGAUAACGUAGGGAAACUUACGCUAAUACCGCAUACGACCUACGGGUGAAAGCAGGGGAUCUUCGGACCUUGCGCGAUUGAAUGAGUCGAUGUCGGAUUAGCUAGUUGGCGGGGUAAAGGCCCACCAAGGCGACGAUCCGUAGCUGGUCUGAGAGGAUGAUCAGCCACACUGGAACUGAGACACGGUCCAGAUUCCUACGGGAGGCAGCAGUGGGGAAUAUUGGACAAUGGGCGCAAGCCUGAUCCAGCCAUACCGCGUGGGUGAAGAAGGCCUUCGGGUUGUAAAGCCCUUUUGUUGGGAAAGAAAAGCAGCAGGUUAAUACCCCGCUGUUCUGACGGUACCCAAAGAAUAAGCACCGGCUAACUUCGUG